AGCGAACGCUGGCGGCAGGUUUAACACAUGCAAGUCGAGCGGGCAUCUUCGGAUGUCAGCGGCAGACGGGUGCGUAACACGUGGGAACGUACCCUUCGGUUCGGAACAACUCUGGGAAACUGGAGCUAAUACCGGAUACGCCCUUAUGGGGAAAGGUUUACUGCCGAAGGAUCGGCCCGCGUCUGAUUAGCUAGUUGGUGGGGUAACGGCCUACCAAGGCGACGAUCAGUAGCUGGUCUGAGAGGAUGAUCAGCCACACUGGGACUGAGACACGGCCCAGACUCCUACGGGAGGCAGCAGUGGGGAAUAUUGGACAAUGGGCGCAAGCCUGAUCCAGCCAUGCCGCGUGAGUGAUGAAGGCCUUAGGGUUGUAAAGCUCUUUUGUCCGGGACGAUAAUGACGGUACCGGAAGAAUAAGCCCCGGCUAACUUCGUG
This 435-nucleotide ribosomal RNA is filed under the name uncultured bacterium. RNAcentral describes it as "partial 16S ribosomal RNA". It matches the Rfam family "Bacterial small subunit ribosomal RNA", at positions 29 to 507 of the family's 1533-position model. The record is from RNAcentral.